RNAcentral lists this ribosomal RNA (502 nucleotides) under uncultured bacterium. Its description in RNAcentral is "partial 16S ribosomal RNA". It matches the Rfam family "Bacterial small subunit ribosomal RNA", at positions 30 to 523 of the family's 1533-position model. The record is from RNAcentral.
AUUGAACGCUGGCGGCAGGCUUAACACAUGCAAGUCGAGCGGAGUGAUGGUGCUUGCACUAUCACUUAGCGGCGGACGGGUGAGUAAUGCUUAGGAAUCUGCCUAUUAGUGGGGGACAACAUCUCGACAGGGAUGCUAAUACCGCAUACGUCCUACGGGAGAAAGCAGGGGAUCUUUAUGACCUUGCGCUAAUAGAUGAGCCUAAGUCGGAUUAGCUAGUUGGUGGGGUAAAGGCCUACCAAGGCGACGAUCUGUAGCGGGUCUGAGAGGAUGAUCCGCCACACUGGGACUGAGACACGGCCCAGACUCCUACGGGAGGCAGCAGUGGGGAAUAUUGGACAAUGGGGGGAACCCUGAUCCAGCCAUGCCGCGUGUGUGAAGAAGGCCUUAUGGUUGUAAAGCACUUUAAGCGAGGAGGAGGCUUACCUAGUUAAUACCUGGGAUAAGUGGACGUUACUCGCAGAAUAAGCACCGGCUAACUCUGUGCCAGCCGCCGCAGUAA